CUAAUACAUGCAAGUCGAGCGCGGGAAGCAAACUGAAUCCUUCGGGAGGACGUUUGUGGAACGAGCGGCGGACGGGUGAGUAACACGUGGGCAACCUGCCUGUAAGCUCGGGAUAACUAGCGGAAACGCUAGCUAAUACCGAAUAACGCUGCGCACCUCAUGGCGCGCAGAUGAAAGGCGGCGCAAGCUGCCACUUACAGAUGGGCCCGCGGCGCAUUAGCUAGUUGGUGGGGUAACGGCCUACCAAGGCGACGAUGCGUAGCCGACCUGAGAGGGUGAUCGGCCACACUGGGACUGAGACACGGCCCAGACUCCUACGGGAGGCAGCAGUAGGGAAUAUUCCGCAAUGGGCGAAAGCCUGACGGAGCGACGCCGCGUGAGCGAUGAAGGUCUUCGGAUCGUAAAGCUCUGUUGUUAGGGAAGAACAAGUACCGGAGUAACUGCCGGUACCUUGACGGUACCUAACCAGAAAGCCCCGGCUAACUACGUGCCAGCAGCCGCGGUAAUACGUAGGGGGCGAGCGUUGUCCGGAAUUAUUGGGCGUAAAGGGCGCGUAGGCGGUCUCUUAAGUCUGAUGUGAAAGCCCCCGGCUUAACCGGGGAGGGUCAUUGGAAACUGGGAGACUUGAGUGCAGGAGAGGGAAGCGGAAUUCCAUGUGUAGCGGUGAAAUGCGUAGAGAUAUGGAGGAACACCAGUGGCGAAGGCGG
This 707-nucleotide ribosomal RNA is filed under the name uncultured bacterium. RNAcentral describes it as "bacterial SSU rRNA". It matches the Rfam family "Bacterial small subunit ribosomal RNA", at positions 48 to 724 of the family's 1533-position model. The record is from RNAcentral.